GACGAACGCUGGCGGCAUGCCUAACACAUGCAAGUCGAACGAAACCUGCGGGUAUCUUGCUGCUCUCGUUCUUAGUGCCGAGCGAGUUGGUCACAGGUACUCAAUCUCCCCUCGAGAGGGGUACUACUGUCGGAUACUACUGUCGGUCCAACGUUUUAUCGCCUUUGGAUGGGGCGGCGUUGGAUUAGCUAGUCGGUAGGGUAAAGGCCUACCAAGGGUACGGUCCUUCGCUGGUCUGGGAGGAUGAUCAGCAACACUGGGACUGAGACACGGCCCAGACUCCUACGGAAGGAAGCAGUGGGGAAUAUUGGACAAUGGGCGAAAGCUUGAUCCAUCAAUGCCGUGUGAGUGAUGAAGGCCUUAGGGUUGUAAAGCUCUUUUACCCGGGAUGAUAAUGACAGUACCGGGAGAAUAAGCUCCGGCUAACUCCGUG
RNAcentral lists this ribosomal RNA (433 nucleotides) under uncultured bacterium. RNAcentral describes it as "partial 16S ribosomal RNA". It matches the Rfam family "Bacterial small subunit ribosomal RNA", at positions 28 to 507 of the family's 1533-position model. The record is from RNAcentral.